GCACCGGUUGUGUAGGGUUUGCACACGCCGCCCAAAUGUUGAACACGCCACCUUGCUGAACGGCGAAUUGGGGUUCGAUUCCCCACCGGUGCA
Molecule: non-coding RNA, 93 nt
Organism: Mycena galopus ATCC 62051
Lineage: Eukaryota; Fungi; Basidiomycota; Agaricomycetes; Agaricales; Mycenaceae
Source: the annotation of a GenBank genome assembly